RNAcentral lists this ribosomal RNA (492 nucleotides) under uncultured bacterium. Its description in RNAcentral is "bacterial SSU rRNA". It matches the Rfam family "Bacterial small subunit ribosomal RNA", at positions 899 to 1397 of the family's 1533-position model. The record is from RNAcentral.
ACUCAAAUGAAUUGACGGGGGCCCGCACAAGCAGUGGAUUAUGUGGUUUAAUUCGAAGCAACGCGAAGAACCUUACCAGGUCUUGACAUACCACGAGUAGCGUAGAGAUACGUGAUGCCCUUCGGGGCGUGGAUACAGGUGGUGCAUGGUUGUCGUCAGCUCGUGUCGUGAGAUGUUGGGUUAAGUCCCGCAACGAGCGCAACCCCUACUAUUAGUUGCUACGCAAGAGCACUCUAAUGGGACUGCCGUUGACAAAACGGAGGAAGGUGGGGAUGAUGUCAAAUCAUCAUGCCCCUUAUGACCUGGGCAACACACGUAAUACAAUGGCGCUUUAACAACGGGAAGCGAAGGAGCGAUCUGGAGCGAAUCUCCAAAAAGCGUCUCAGUUCGGAUUGCAGGCUGCAACCCGCCUGCAUGAAGUCGGAAUUGCUAGUAAUCGCGGAUCAGCACGCCGCGGUGAAUACGUUCCCGGGCCUUGUACACACCGCCCGU